CGCAACGAUGCACUAGCGAUCCGCCGGCGGCUAUUAGGCCCUGGUGGGGAGCUUCCCGGAAACGAAAGUCUUCCGGUUCCGGGGGAAGUAUGGUUGCAAAGCUGAAACUUAAAGGAAUUGACGGAAGGGCACCACCAGGAGUGGAGCCUGCGGCUUAAUUUGACUCAACACGGGAAAACUCACCCGGCCCGGACACCGUAAGGAUUGACAGAUUGAUAGCUUUUUCAUGAUUCGGUGGUUGGUGGUGCAUGGCCGUUCUUAGUUCGUGGAUCGAUUUGUCUGGUUUAUUCCGAUAACGAGCGAGACUCCAGCCUACUAAAUAGUGCGGGCAUUGCUUCUGUGCUUGUCACUUCUUAGAGGGAUUGGCUGCGUCUAGCGGCACGAAACGGAGCAAUAACAGGUCUGUGAUGCCCUUAGAUGUCCGGGGCUGCACGCGCGCUACACUGGCAAAGGCAGCGUGCUUGUCCGUCUCCGAAAGGAGCCGGUAAACCCUUGAAAAUUUGCCGUGAUUGGGAUCGGAAAUUGCAAUUAUUUUCCGUGAACGAGGAAUUCCUAGUAAGUGCGAGUCAUCAGCUCGCGUUGAUUACGUCCGGGCCCCCUUUGGAAACCCCCC
RNAcentral lists this ribosomal RNA (613 nucleotides) under Criconemoides annulatus. RNAcentral's name for it is "SSU rRNA". It matches the Rfam family "Eukaryotic small subunit ribosomal RNA", at positions 1031 to 1674 of the family's 1831-position model. The record is from RNAcentral. Lineage: Eukaryota; Metazoa; Nematoda; Chromadorea; Rhabditida; Criconematidae.